GAUAGAGACUUAAAUCAUGGAUUGGGCCUUGACUUUGGCCCAAGCCUAAAAUGUGGAAAGAAAGGAAAGAAUGAUGAGGUGGCAAGUAAUAGUAACUAUAUAAAGAGUAGCAAGAGAAAAGAAUAACUUAGCCUAGUUUUUAGGUUAGAAUUAUGGGAUCACCAUCUUGGUGAUUUGGGAAGCUUUUUAGCUUUUGGGGCUGAUAGUUACUGCUAUCAGUUUGUUACCCUUUUAUUUUCUUAUUUCACCAUUGCUACACAUUGUAAUUGUUUUCUUGUUUCAUUAAUACAAUUGCUAUUUCCCUUUUCAUAUCCAUUUUCUCUACUUUUGUGAUCUGAACCCUAUCA
This 347-nucleotide long non-coding RNA is filed under the name Trifolium pratense (red clover). RNAcentral's name for it is "long non-coding RNA (TPRA_LNC000899)". Lineage: Eukaryota; Viridiplantae; Streptophyta; Magnoliopsida; Fabales; Fabaceae. The record is from RNAcentral.